GUCGAGCGCGGGAAGCGAGUGGAUCCCUUCGGGGUGAAGCUCGUGGAACGAGCGGCGGACGGGUGAGUAACACGUGGGCAACCUGCCUGUAAGAUCGGAAUAACCCCGGGAAACCGGGGCUAAUGCCGGGUAAUACUUUCUUUCGCAUGAAGGAAAGUUGAAAGAUGGCUUCUCGCUAUCACUUACAGAUGGGCCCGCGGCGCAUUAGCUAGUUGGUGAGGUAACGGCUCACCAAGGCGACGAUGCGUAGCCGACCUGAGAGGGUGAUCGGCCACACUGGGACUGAGACACGGCCCAGACUCCUACGGGAGGCAGCAGUAGGGAAUCUUCCGCAAUGGACGAAAGUCUGACGGAGCAACGCCGCGUGAACGAUGAAGGUCUUCGGAUCGUAAAGUUCUGUUGUUAGGGAAGAACAAGUACCGUGCGAAUAGAGCGGUACCUUGACGGUACCUAACGAGGAAGCCCCGGCUAACUACGUGCCAGCAGCCGCGGUAAUACGUAGGGGGCAAGCGUUGUCCGGAAUUAUUGGGCGUAAAGCGCGCGCAGGCGGUUCCUUAAGUCUGAUGUGAAAGCCCACGGCUCAACCGUGGAGGGUCAUUGGAAACUGGGGAACUUGAGGACAGAAGAGGAGAGUGGAAUUCCACGUGUAGCGGUGAAAUGCGUAGAUAUGUGGAGGAACACCAGUGGCGAAGGCGACUCUCUGGUCUGUUUCUGACGCUGAGGUGCGAAAGCGUGGGUAGCAAACAGGAUUAGAUACCCUGGUAG
Molecule: ribosomal RNA, 765 nt
Filed under: Halobacillus sp. HK5
Lineage: Bacteria; Bacillati; Bacillota; Bacilli; Caryophanales; Bacillaceae
Description: bacterial SSU rRNA
Rfam family: Bacterial small subunit ribosomal RNA
Source: RNAcentral